RNAcentral lists this ribosomal RNA (253 nucleotides) under uncultured bacterium. Its description in RNAcentral is "partial 16S ribosomal RNA". It matches the Rfam family "Bacterial small subunit ribosomal RNA", at positions 524 to 776 of the family's 1533-position model. The record is from RNAcentral.
UACGUAGGUGACAAGCGUUAUCCGGAAUUACUGGGCGUAAAGCGCACGCAGGCGGCGCAUUAAGUCUGAUGUGAAAUCUCCCGGCUUAACUGGGAGGGGUCAUUGGAAACUGGUGUGCUUGAGGCGGUGAGAGGGGUGUAGAAUUCCCGGUGUAGUGGUGGAAUGCGUAGAUAUCGGGAGGAAUACCAGUGGCGAAAGCGGCACCCUGGCACUAGCCUGACGCUCAUGUGCGAAGGCGUGGGGAGCGAACGGG